This 827-nucleotide ribosomal RNA is filed under the name Xinidium dentilabris. RNAcentral's name for it is "SSU rRNA". It matches the Rfam family "Eukaryotic small subunit ribosomal RNA", at positions 470 to 1255 of the family's 1831-position model. Lineage: Eukaryota; Metazoa; Arthropoda; Insecta; Coleoptera; Scarabaeidae. The record is from RNAcentral.
ACGAAAAAUAACGAUACGGGACUCAUCCGAGGCCCCGUAAUCGGAAUGAGUACACUCUAAACUCUUUAACGAGGAUCAAUUGGAGGGCAAGUCUGGUGCCAGCAGCCGCGGUAAUUCCAGCUCCAAUAGCGUAUAUUAAAGUUGUUGCGGUUAAAAAGCUCGUAGUCGAAUUUGUGUCCCGCGCCGCCGGUUCAUCGCUCGCGGUGUCAACUGGCGUGUCCGCGGGACGUCCUGCCGGUGGGCUUAGCUCCCUGUGGGCGGCCCAAUCUCAAUCCCACCGCGGUGCUCUUCACUGAGUGUCGAGGUGGGCCGGCACGUUUACUUUGAACAAAUUAGAGUGCUUAAAGCAGGCUAAAACAUCGCCUGAAUACUGUGUGCAUGGAAUAAUGGAAUAGGACCUCGGUUCUAUUUUGUUGGUUUUCGGAACCCCGAGGUAAUGAUUAAUAGGAACGGAUGGGGGCAUUCGUAUUGCGACGUUAGAGGUGAAAUUCUUGGAUCGUCGCAAGACGGACAGAAGCGAAAGCAUUUGCCAAAAACGCUUUCAUUGAUCAAGAACGAAAGUUAGAGGUUCGAAGGCGAUCAGAUACCGCCCUAGUUCUAACCAUAAACGAUGCCAGCUAGCGAUCCGCCGACGUUCCUCCGAUGACUCGGCGGGCAGCUUCCGGGAAACCAAAGCUUUUGGGAUCCGGGGGAAGUAUGGUUGCAAAGCUGAAACUUAAAGGAAUUGACGGAAGGGCACCACCAGGAGUGGAGCCUGCGGCUUAAUUUGACUCAACACGGGAAACCUCACCAGGCCCGGACACCGGAAGGAUUGACAGAUUGAGAGC